This 549-nucleotide ribosomal RNA is filed under the name Salmonella enterica. Its description in RNAcentral is "partial 23S ribosomal RNA". It matches the Rfam family "Bacterial large subunit ribosomal RNA", at positions 1 to 591 of the family's 2925-position model. The record is from RNAcentral. Lineage: Bacteria; Pseudomonadati; Pseudomonadota; Gammaproteobacteria; Enterobacterales; Enterobacteriaceae.
GGUUAAGCGACUAAGCGUACACGGUGGAUGCCCUGGCAGUCAGAGGCGAUGAAGGGCGUGCUAAUCUGCGAUAAGCGCCGGUAAGGUGAUAUGAACCGUUAUAACCGGCGAUACCCGAAUGGGGAAACCCAGUGUGAUUCGUCACACUAUCAUUAACUGAAUCCAUAGGUUAAUGAGGCGAACCGGGGGAACUGAAACAUCUAAGUACCCCGAGGAAAAGAAAUCAACCGAGAUUCCCCCAGUAGCGGCGAGCGAACGGGGAGGAGCCCAGAGCCUGAAUCAGCAUGUGUGUUAGUGGAAGCGUCUGGAAAGGCGCGCGAUACAGGGUGACAGCCCCGUACACAAAAGCGUAUGUGCUGUGAGCUCGAUGAGUAGGGCGGGACACGUGGUAUCCUGUCUGAAUAUGGGGGGACCAUCCUCCAAGGCUAAAUACUCCUGACUGACCGAUAGUGAACCAGUACCGUGAGGGAAAGGCGAAAAGAACCCCGGCGAGGGGAGUGAAAAAGAACCUGAAACCGUGUACGUACAAGCAGUGGGAGCACCCUUCGG